UACGUAGGGGGCAAGCGUUAUCCGGAUUUACUGGGUGUAAAGGGGGCGCAGACGGCAAUGCAAGCCAGGAGUGAAAGCCCGGGGCCCAACCCCGGGACUGCUCUUGGAACUGCAUGGCUGGAGUACAGGAGGGGCAGGCGGAAUUCCUAGUGUAGCGGUGAAAUGCGUAGAUAUUAGGAGGAACACCGGUGGCGAAGGCGGCCUGCUGGACUGUGACUGACGUUGAGGCACGAAAGUGUGGGGAGCAAACAGG
Molecule: ribosomal RNA, 253 nt
Filed under: uncultured bacterium
Lineage: Bacteria
Description: partial 16S ribosomal RNA
Rfam family: Bacterial small subunit ribosomal RNA
Source: RNAcentral